CCAUUACUGACACUGAGGAGCGAAAGCGUGGGGAGCGAACAGGAUUAGAUACCCUGGUAGUCCACGCCGUAAACGGUGGGCACUAGUUGUGGGGACCUUCCACGGUCUCUGCGACGCAGCUAACGCAUUAAGUGCCCCGCCUGGGGAGUACGAUCGCAAGAUUAAAACUCAAAGGAAUUGACGGGGCCCCGCACAAGCAGCGGAGCAUGCGGCUUAAUCCGACGCAACGCGAAGAACCUUACCAAGGCUUGACAUAUACAGGAAUAUGGCAGAGAUGUCAUAGCCGCAAGGUCUGUAUACAGGUGGUGCAUGGUUGUCGUCAGCUCGUGUCGUGAGAUGUUGGGUUAAGUCCCGCAACGAGCGCAACCCUCGUUCUGUGUUGCCAGCAUUUAGUUGGGGACUCACAGGAGACUGCCGGGGUUAACUCGGAGGAAGGUGGGGAUGACGUCAAAUCAUCAUGCCCCUUAUGUCUUGGGCUGCACGCAUGCUACAAUGGCUGGUACAAACGGCUGCAAUACCGCAAGGUGGAGCGAAUCCGAUAAAGCCAGUCUCAGUUCGGAUUGGGGUCUGCAACUCGACCCCAUGAAGUCGGAGUUGCUAGUAAUCGUAGAUCAGCAACGCUACGGUGAAUACGUUCCCGGGGCUUGUACACACCGCCCGUCACGUCACGAAAGUCGUAACACCCGAAGUCAGUGGCCCAACCGCAAGGAGG
RNAcentral lists this ribosomal RNA (712 nucleotides) under uncultured Actinomycetes bacterium. RNAcentral's name for it is "bacterial SSU rRNA". It matches the Rfam family "Bacterial small subunit ribosomal RNA", at positions 734 to 1449 of the family's 1533-position model. The record is from RNAcentral. Lineage: Bacteria; Bacillati; Actinomycetota; Actinomycetes.